GGAAGCAAAAUCUUCAGAGACAGAUGUACUUUUAGCUUUGGGGAUAUGUUUUGGGUAGAUCUUGAGGAAGAUGGGAGAGAGAGCUAUUAGUGAGAUUGUGUGGAGACACAACUACAAAGAAAACAGAUCCCUUACCUUUCCCAGGUCAGCGAAAGGAGAAAGGGCAUCUCAGAUGUGCCACAUGAAGAAACCACAAGAGAGCAUGAUGGGAAAAGCAAGUAAGGGAUGUGGGUAUCAGGAAGUUGAGCAUCCUAGAAGAAGGCUGGGUUGAUGAUGAACAUUGCUACUAGGACUGCUCAUAAGGAAACUUAGCUUUAGGGAGAGAGGUCAGAUGGAUUCUUCCAGGUCUCAAAGCAAGCAUGGGUAAAGGGCUAGGUGUGUGGUGACUCUAACUCCAGGUAAAGAUGGCAUUUUAACUUUAAAGUAGACAGUUCUUGGUUGUUUUGAAUGAAUCAGGAUGUUGUAUGACUCAGGUCAAGGGAGGGAAACCCAAAGGAGGUAAAAAGAAAUAUAAAUAAUGGUGGAAUGGGGAUGGUAUAGGAAAAUGAUGUCAGGGAAGGUAUAAAACCUCGUCCUCUCCAACAAAAAGAAGAAACUAGAGGCAAAACUCGCAGAAACAGUGGAUGCAAGACUAUUAAGCUCUAUAAGUCAGAUAUGAGGGAGAAGGGACAUGGUCAUCAUGGCUCGUUGGCUGAGCUGGCCUCUUCAGAUGACGUGUGGGUGUGUUUGUGGGGAGAUGCUGUAUCCUAUGGAGUAUAAAGGGCCAGGUGGCAAGCUCCUGACAUGCAACUCUUUCCUUCUGGAAUUCUUUGGUCCCAAGCCACAGCGGAUGACCCACCAAGAGACCUGUACCUGUCAGAUUGCAGGCACUAUUGUGGAUGAGCCCAUCUUUCCAGAUUGGCUGCAGCCGGGAGUGCUGCUCAGAGAGGAAUGGACAGCGGCUGCCCAGAACAGAUGCUACAUUGGAAAGCAGCCUCUCUUAUUGCCUAAAGUUGCCAGAGCUCCACUGGGCACCAGAGUUGAGCCACAGCAAACACAAGCUAGGGGCUGUGAACCCCUUAUAGGUAACCAGAUGUGCAGGGAAUGGCAGAUCAAAGGCUGCUCUCCAGAUGUCCCCUGCUGAGGGUGAGCAGCUGGUGCAGAAGUGUCCCCUUUGGCAACUUCUGGGACUCUGUGCCACUGCUGGCUCAGGAGGUGGCUGGCAGGAAAGGCUCCAGAAGAGACAUUAAAGGGAAAUUUGGGCCUCAGUGUGAUGCUAAGCUGACAGCUCUAUGAACUACCUAACAUUUUAUCAAUGCUGUUUGUAAUAUGACGGAAGAUGAUGGUUAUUCUACUAUGAUGCACCUCAGCAUAUGUCCCCCAUGUGUGGCUUCUGGCCAGUGCCAGGACAGGAGUCAGUUUGUUACCAUAGCUUCCCAACCAGGAUGUAAAAUCUCCCAUACCCCAUAUCCUCCACUCCUAUUUGGAACGGGAAUGUGGGCUUUGGCUUUGCUCCAGUUUCUUGAUCCUUCCUUCCAAGUUCUCACCCUCUAACACAACUUGAAACUCAAAAUUAGUGGGCAGCAGAACUGGGCUGCUGAAUCCAAAGACAGUUAAAAGUGUGUUUGAGUGUGUGUGUGUGUGUUUGUAUCUAUGAAGAUGUGUGUACUAGAUUCAUCUAUAUAUAAUUAAUGUAUUAACAAUACAAAUAGUCUCAUGGACAUGUACAUAUGCAACAUGCGUUCCUGCUAUUGUUCUUUUAGUCCCCAUCUAACUUCUCCCUUCUCUAUUCCCCCUGCUUCCAUCUCCCUUAUCCCCUUCUCCCUGUCUGAAUGGUGUCUGGUAUAAGUGGAGGAGGCCAAAAGGAAUGACAGAGGUCUUGAAGCUGCCCAAGGUGACAGUUACUUGGAGCAGAUAGCAUCUGUACAUUAUGAAGUAGAGUGUUGCCAUCCUCAUCAUUACCAUCACCUAGACCCAUGUCUCCCCAGUGCCACUUGGAAGGAUGCAGGAGGCUUGCUAUCUCCAUGGUGAUAAGGAAGCCUUCAGGAAGCUGGUCUGCCUUCUCUUUCUGAACUCUCUCUAACUGAAUUAUCUUAUGUCAUUAUAAUGCUUUCCUAACAAUAAACUUG
This 2108-nucleotide long non-coding RNA is filed under the name Mus spicilegus (steppe mouse). Its description in RNAcentral is "lncRNA (ENSMSIG00000025750.1)". Lineage: Eukaryota; Metazoa; Chordata; Mammalia; Rodentia; Muridae. The record is from RNAcentral.